RNAcentral lists this ribosomal RNA (738 nucleotides) under uncultured Atopobium sp. RNAcentral describes it as "bacterial SSU rRNA". It matches the Rfam family "Bacterial small subunit ribosomal RNA", at positions 28 to 776 of the family's 1533-position model. The record is from RNAcentral. Lineage: Bacteria; Bacillati; Actinomycetota; Coriobacteriia; Coriobacteriales; Atopobiaceae.
GAUGAACGCUGGCGGCGCGCCUAACACAUGCAAGUCGAACGAUUAAAGCACCUUCGGGUGUGUAUAAAGUGGCGAACGGCUGAGUAACACGUGGGCAACCUGCCCCUCUCAUUGGGAUAGCCACGGGAAACCGUGGAUAAUACCGAAUACUUCGAGACUUCCGCAUGGAAGACUCGAGAAAGCUCCGGCGGAGAGGGAUGGGCCCGCGGCCUGUUAGCUUGUUGGUGGGGUAACGGCCUACCAAGGCAAUGAUGGGUAGCUGGGUUGAGAGACCGACCAGCCAGAUUGGGACUGAGACACGGCCCAGACUCCUACGGGAGGCAGCAGUGGGGAAUCUUGCACAAUGGGCGAAAGCCUGAUGCAGCGACGCCGCGUGCGGGAUGAAGGCCUUCGGGUUGUAAACCGCUUUCAGCAGGGACGAGGCGAAAGUGACGGUACCUGCAGAAGAAGCCCCGGCUAACUACGUGCCAGCAGCCGCGGUAAUACGUAGGGGGCAAGCGUUAUCCGGAAUUACUGGGUGUAAAGGGAGCGUAGACGGUUAAACAAGUCUGAAGUGAAAUGCCGGGGCUCAACCUCGGAGCUGCUUUGGAAACUGUAGAACUGGAGUGUCGGAGGGGUAAGCGGAAUUCCCAGUGUAGCGGUGAAAUGCGUAGAUAUUUGGGAGGGAACACCGGCGGCGAAGGCGGCUUACUGGACGACAACUGACGUUGAGGCUCGAAGGCGUGGGUAGCAAACAGG